Molecule: ribosomal RNA, 372 nt
Filed under: uncultured Glomeromycotina
Lineage: Eukaryota; Fungi; Glomeromycota
Description: LSU rRNA
Source: RNAcentral
UUGAAAGGGAAACGAUUGAAGUCAGUCGUACCUAUGGGUAAUCAGCCUUUUGGGUGUGAUUUUGUGGAGCGUGGAGAGUUAAACGCCUUCAUGCCUGCAUAUUCGUGCACUUUGGGUGUACUUGCCCGUGUGUAAGUUAACAUCAAUUUUGGUGGUCAUAAAAUGGCUGGAGGAAUGUAGCUUCGAUCUUGUAUUGAAGUGUUAUAGCCUUCGGUAGAUGUGACGAUCGGGAUUGAGGAUUGCAACGGAUACCCUUCGGGGCUACCUAUCUGAUCUCUGAUCGUUGCUCUGGUGCCGAAAGCUUGCUUACGGUUAUCAAAGUCGAUGGUCAAUAGGUUAGAAUGGGUUAAAUUCGUUAAGGAUGUUGACGUA